GACGAACGCUGGCGGCGUGCCUAAUACAUGCAAGUAGAACGCUGAAGGAGGAGCUUGCUUCUCUGGAUGAGUUGCGAACGGGUGAGUAACGCGUAGGUAACCUGCCUGGUAGUGGGGGAUAACUAUUGGAAACGAUAGCUAAUACCGCAUAAUAGCAGUUGUUGCAUGAUAACUGUUUGAAAGGUGCAAUUGCACCGCUACCAGAUGGACCUGCGUUGUAUUAGCUAGUUGGUGGGGUAACGGCUCACCAAGGCGACAAUACAUAGCCGACCUGAGAGGGUGAUCGGCCACACUGGGACUGAGACACGGCCCAGACUCCUACGGGAGGCAGCAGUAGGGAAUCUUCGGCAAUGGACGGAAGUCUGACCGAGCAACGCCGCGUGAGUGAAGAAGGUUUUCGGAUCGUAAAGCUCUGUUGUAAGAGAAGAACGAGUGUGAGAGUGGAAAGUUCACACUGUGACGGUAUCUUACCAGAAAGGGACGGCUAACUACGUG
This 495-nucleotide ribosomal RNA is filed under the name uncultured bacterium. RNAcentral describes it as "partial 16S ribosomal RNA". It matches the Rfam family "Bacterial small subunit ribosomal RNA", at positions 28 to 507 of the family's 1533-position model. The record is from RNAcentral.